RNAcentral lists this ribosomal RNA (235 nucleotides) under uncultured bacterium. RNAcentral describes it as "partial 16S ribosomal RNA". It matches the Rfam family "Bacterial small subunit ribosomal RNA", at positions 96 to 334 of the family's 1533-position model. The record is from RNAcentral.
CGGCGGACGGGUGAGUAAUGUAUGGGGAUCUGCCUGAUGGCGGGGGAUAACUACUGGAAACGGUAGCUAAUACCGCAUAACGUCGCAAGACCAAAGAGGGGGACCUUAGGGCCUCUUGCCAUCGGAUGUGCCCAGAUGGGAUUAGCUUGUAGGUAAGGUAACGGCUUACCUAGGCGACGAUCCCUAGCUGGUCUGAGAGGAUGACCAGCCACACUGGAACUGAGACACGGUCCAG